Molecule: non-coding RNA, 98 nt
Filed under: Laticauda laticaudata (blue-ringed sea krait)
Lineage: Eukaryota; Metazoa; Chordata; Lepidosauria; Squamata; Elapidae
Description: U4atac minor spliceosomal RNA (ENSLLTG00000012360.1)
Rfam family: U4atac minor spliceosomal RNA
About the family: U4atac is an essential component of the minor U12-type spliceosome complex which is required for removal of the rarer class of eukaryotic introns (AT-AC, U12-type).
Source: Rfam by way of RNAcentral
CUUAUCCUUAUCUUGGGGUUGUGCCACUGUUCAAUGAAUAUCUAGUGAGAACAGUCCUGCUAACACCUACACAUCUUCAAAACUAAAAUAAUGCAACU